This 240-nucleotide small RNA is filed under the name Cohnella sp. SGD-V74. RNAcentral describes it as "BsrG". It matches the Rfam family "BsrG". Rfam says of the family: bsrE, bsrG and bsrH pair through intermolecular interactions with antisense sRNAs. The record is from RNAcentral. Lineage: Bacteria; Bacillati; Bacillota; Bacilli; Caryophanales; Paenibacillaceae. RNAcentral also lists the same sequence under 1 other name.
UACAACAGUAUAGGCUUGCAAGGGCGGUCGGCUAAUCUCCCCGAAGGGAGGUGAUGCCCAUGACAGUAUUCGAGGGACUUAUACUUAUGAUAACGUUCGGUUCGCUGAUCGUAUCGGUACUGUCCUUUAAACGAAAAUAGACCGCCCCUCACCAAGGAAUCGGUCUAUUUCCUGACUAUUUUCCAAGCCUACCGCCCUUAAAAGCGGCUGUUGUAAGGAGUCGUGUUGGUAGCACGGCUC